CGUUCCCAUCCCGAACACGGAAGUUAAGACCUUCAGGGCUGAUGAUACUUGGACCGCAGGGUCCUGGGAAAGUAAGUCGUUGCCAGGU
This 88-nucleotide ribosomal RNA is filed under the name Desulfitobacterium dehalogenans. Lineage: Bacteria; Bacillati; Bacillota; Clostridia; Eubacteriales; Desulfitobacteriaceae. The record is from RNAcentral.